UACGGGGGGGGCAAGCGUUGUUCGGAAUUACUGGGCGUAAAGGGCUCGUAGGCGGCUAACUAAGUCAGACGUGAAAUCCCUCGGCUUAACCGGGGAACUGCAUCUGAUACUGGAUGGCUUGAGUUCGGGAGAGGGAUGCGGAAUUCCAGGUGUAGCGGUGAAAUGCGUAGAUAUCUGGAGGAACACCGGUGGCGAAGGCGGCAUCCUGGACCGACACUGACGCUGAGGAGCGAAAGCCAGGGGAGCAAACGGG
RNAcentral lists this ribosomal RNA (253 nucleotides) under uncultured bacterium. RNAcentral's name for it is "partial 16S ribosomal RNA". It matches the Rfam family "Bacterial small subunit ribosomal RNA", at positions 524 to 776 of the family's 1533-position model. The record is from RNAcentral.